RNAcentral lists this unclassified non-coding RNA (380 nucleotides) under soil metagenome. RNAcentral's name for it is "partial contains 5.8S ribosomal RNA, internal transcribed spacer 2, and large subunit ribosomal RNA". The stretch from base 1 to 120 matches the Rfam family "5.8S ribosomal RNA", at positions 35 to 154 of the family's 154-position model. The record is from RNAcentral.
GAUGAAGAACGCAGCGAAAUGCGAUAAGUAGUGUGAAUUGCAGAAUUCAGUGAAUCAUCGAAUCUUUGAACGCACAUUGCGCCCGCCAGUAUUCUGGCGGGCAUGCCUGUUCGAGCGUCAUUUCAACCCUCAGGUCCCCCUUUUCGGAGGGGGAGACACCCUGGUGUUGGGGGACGGCAUCCUGGCCCGCUGUCUCACAGUGUGCCACGCCGCCCCCGAAAUGAAUUGGCGGCCUCGUCGCGUGCCACCCCUGCGUAGUAGCACAACCUCGCAACGGGAGCCCGACGCGGCCACUGCCGUAAAACGCCCAACUUUUACCGAGUUGACCUCGAAUCAGGUAGGAAUACCCACUGAACUUAAGCAUAUCAAUAAGCGGAGGA